CAUAAGGGUGGUCGGCUAAGCUCCCGUUGAAAGGGGGUGAUGCCUAUAUGACGAUUUAUGAAAGUCUUGUAAUUAUGCUUUCGUUUGCGUCGCUUGUUGUUGCGAUUUUAUCUUUUGACAACAAUAAAAAAUAGACCUCCCUUUCUCUGCUAAAGUCGGGUGAGGUCUAUCUUAUCUUAGGCUGAUCCUCUUAGUGGGACCAAUUCUAUUGCUAGGCCGUAGAUGCUCGCAACAUCU
RNAcentral lists this small RNA (237 nucleotides) under uncultured Ferdinandcohnia sp. RNAcentral describes it as "BsrG". It matches the Rfam family "BsrG". Rfam says of the family: bsrE, bsrG and bsrH pair through intermolecular interactions with antisense sRNAs. SR4 interaction with the 3'UTR of bsrG RNA promotes bsrG degradation and inhibits its translation. Lineage: Bacteria; Bacillati; Bacillota; Bacilli; Caryophanales; Bacillaceae. The record is from RNAcentral.